Sapajus apella (tufted capuchin) is the source of this 3031-nucleotide RNA transcript. It is a transcript of the gene named tetraspanin 11, with no coding region annotated. The record is from RefSeq and is a predicted model, not a curated record. Lineage: Eukaryota; Metazoa; Chordata; Mammalia; Primates; Cebidae. The transcript is spliced from 9 exons.
UACCUCAAAAACUAAAUUGAAGAAAAGUGAGUUUUGUCUUUUUUUAAUGAGAAAACUAACAGUCUUAAAUUACCUUCUUCAAAGUCUGCAAAUAGAAAUCACAAAUAAGUCAGUCACAUGGCUCAGUGAGCCCAUGAGCUUGAAAUAAGAGGCAGAGCAAUGGCUCAGAGGAAAUAAUUGGGGCGUGGCCCAGCACCAGCCCAGGCAGCAACAACAGAAUGAAAGGAGGGCCCAAUUGGGGGUUGGAAAUAAUGGAGGAAGAGAUGGAAAUGCUAAACUCCCCAGCCCAGCAUGUGUGUCUUCUCUGCAGGCUCAGCAGCCAUGGUCCAUUGUAAGACUGACUCAGACUGCUGGCUGAGCAUCUCCCUGAAUAAGCAUAAACCAUGCCUCAUUGCUUAUGGUUCUGAAAUAAAAGAGGCUCUCAAAAUGGGGGUGAUUUCUUAAAGAGCAACUAUUCUGUGAGUGUGAGUAUCCAGGUGCCCAGGGGCACAUGUAGCUUAAGGAGAGGAGGAAACCACAAAGGCUUCAGACUUUCUGAGGUUAAGACUGAGAAGCAAACAGGAUUACCAGGCACAGUAGGACCUGCCUUUAUCAUCACCAUUGAUGUCAUACCUCCUAGAGAGUCCAUCAGGGGACGUCAGGACAAGAGACAGCAUGGUGUUGGGGUAUACACGGGAGCUUUAGGACUGGAGUCUUAGGCUCUAGCCCCAGUUCUAUGACAUGUAAUAAUACCUAAUACUGAUUGAACAUAUACUUCAUGCCAAGGACUAUGCUAAACACUUCACGUAGAUUAUUUCAUUAAUCUCCAAAACAACCCUAUAUGUGUCAUUAUUAUCCCCAUUUACAGAUGAGAAUGCUGAAGGAUGGAGGUCACGUAACUUGCCCUAAGUAUCACACAUCUUGUGACAGAUCAGGGUGUGAAUCCAGGGAGUCAGACUCCAGAAGCUCUUGUACUUCUUCCUGCCAAACCACCAGGUGUGGCUGGGCCUACUUCCUCAUCUGGAAAGUCAAGCUGCAGCAGCCAGGCCCAGCAGCCAUGGCCCACUUUAAGACUGAGCAGGAUGACUGGCUGAUUGUCUACCUGAAGUAUUUACUCUUUGUCUUCAACUUCUUCUUCUGGGUCGGGGGAGCAGCCGUCCUGGCCGUGGGCAUCUGGACCCUGGUGGAGAAGAGUGGCUACCUCAGCGUCCUGGCCUCUAGCACCUUUGCCACCUCCGCCUACAUCCUUAUCUUCGCGGGCGCACUUGUCAUGGCCACCGGCUUCCUCGGCUUCGGUACCAUCCUCCGGGAGCAGAAGGGCUGCCUCUCCACGUAUUUCUGCCUGUUGCUCGUCAUCUUCCUGGUUGAACUGGUGGCGGGAGUCUUGGCCCACGUGUAUUACCAGAGGCUGAGUGAUGAACUAAAGCAGCACUUGAACCAGACUCUGACCAAGAACUACGGGCAGCCGGGAGCCACGCAGAUCACCGCCUCAGUAGACCGGCUCCAGCAGGAUUUCAAGUGCUGCGGAAGCACCAGCUCAGCCGACUGGCAGCGCAGCACAUACAUCCUGUCGCGGGAGGCCGAGGGCCGCUGGGUGCCCGACAGCUGCUGCAAGACAGUGGUGGUGCGCUGCGGCCGGCGGGCCCACCCCUCCAACAUCUAUAAGGUGGAGGGAGGCUGCCUCACCAAGCUGGAGCAGUUCCUGGCCGACCACCUGCUGCUCAUGGGGGCGGUGGGCAUCGGGGUGGCCUGCCUGCAGGCUGAAUCCCACGGUCAGUCUCUCCCCCAGGGAACAUGAAGGAAGAUACCUGGGGACAACAUGAACUUGUCAGGAACAGGGACCUGGGAGGAGUGUGAGUGUGGGCUCAGGCAUGUGCAUGCACCCCGUGUGCACGCAGGGAUCUGCGGGAUGGUUCUCACCUGCUGCUUGCACCGAAGGCUCCAGCGGCAUUUUUACUGAUGGCCAACCACCUCCUCUUCCAACUGCCCUACAGGAGGACAGGUGGCCGCAUGCCAUCCGCCUGCAGAGUUAGCACCAGCUCCACUAGGGCCAUAGAUGCCCCCUCCUCUGUGCCCAGCAUCUACAAAUCCACCAAGUGCCUAAGACCAUAGCUUCUACUGUGCCCACCCAGGCAGGGACCCUCGGACCCCUCUCCUCCACUUCUGAGCUCCCAUGGCCAGAUCCUGGGCAGGGAAAUGAUCCUUUCAGGAGACAACCAGAGCUCCGCACCAGGCACAGGGACACUGUGGACUAGGGAAGGUUGACAGUUGGGCUCUUUGCUCCCUCCCAGCUCUUGAACCGGGAACAAUGGGCAGAAAACCCAGGUCUCCCAGGUUUUCAGCACUGGAUUCCCCCACCCAUGCUCAAAAGCCCUGACCUUGCUGAUUCUGGAAGAUGCAUGGGGUGGGGUAGGGAGGGCUGGUGUUUCCUCCAGAAGACCUUGCUCUUUGACCUGCCCACUGUCCACACUGCCUCACCUGGAAAGCCAUGUCCUGCUGGCCUCACUCUUUCCUGCAGGGCCUGGGAGUGGGGAGGCCUGGGUAGGGCAGCCACAGGCUGGGUGGAGUUGCUCUGGCAGGGAGCGGGGGUAAGGUGGCCACACCAGCACAUGCUGCAAUAGGAGCAGAGCCCCGUGCCUGCCUAGCAACCUUCCUGGGAGAAUCCCCUUGGGGAGACCCUGGCCCCAAGCCCUGACCUCUAGGGACAUGCCCCCCAGAGGGAUCUCCUGUUCCAGGGCCUGAUUCUCAGGAACAUCAGGUUUUUAAACCAUCUUCAGCACCUAAUGCUGGUGGGUGUCAAGCAUUUCCUGGAGUGGACCAACUCACGACCCUUUAAAGUCGCAGCCACUGAGAAAGGGCAGCUCUGAGUAGAGGGGUGUCUGCCUGAGCCUCACCUUUCCUGGGGCCCUCUCCUUACCCUGUGGCCACCAGCACUCUGCUUCCCCUCCCACCCGUCCUGGAGUGAACAGAGCUUUUGUCUUGGGUUCUCUCUUGCAUCACUAAAUUCAGCAGGGAAUUUUUCAGUAAGAACGUUCCCCAGUGCUAAGGGAGA